GAUGAACGCUGGCGGCGUGCUUAAUACAUGCAAGUCGAGCGAACAGACGAUGAUUUUGCUCUUCUCACGUUUGGCGCGGAUGUGUGAGUAACACGGGGAGAACCGACUUAUAAGACUGGGAUAUCCUGGGGAAUCCGGAGCAAAUACGGGAGAAUAUACUGAAUCGCAGGGUUCAAUAGUGAAAGACGGUGUUGCUGACACCUAUAGAUGGAUCUGCGCCGGAUUAGCUAGUUGGUAAGGUAACGGCUUACCCAGGCGAAGAUGCGUAGCCGACCCGAGAGGGUGAUCGGCCACACUGGAGCUGAGACGCGGUCCAGACUCCUGCGGGAGGCAGCAGUAGGGAAUCUUCCGCAAUGGGCGAGAGCCUGACGGAGCAACGCCGCGUGAGUGAUGAAGGUCCUCGGAUCGGAAAACUCUGUUGUGUGGGAAGAACAAAUGUGUAAGUAACUAUGCACGUAUUGACGGUACCUGAUCAGGAAGCCACGGCUAACUACGUG
RNAcentral lists this ribosomal RNA (497 nucleotides) under uncultured bacterium. RNAcentral describes it as "partial 16S ribosomal RNA". It matches the Rfam family "Bacterial small subunit ribosomal RNA", at positions 28 to 507 of the family's 1533-position model. The record is from RNAcentral.